Long non-coding RNA from Lagopus muta (rock ptarmigan), 2138 nucleotides. RefSeq lists it as uncharacterized. The transcript is spliced from 7 exons. The record is from RefSeq and is a predicted model, not a curated record. Lineage: Eukaryota; Metazoa; Chordata; Aves; Galliformes; Phasianidae.
AAGCCAUGUGUGCUGGCAGCUUGCUGCCACUGAGCUGCCUCUGCUUAUGGUUUUGUGGGGCAUAGGGAGAACACUGCUGUGCUUGACGAGGAUGCUAGCAGAAAAUAUGUGCUUCUGAGAAGAACCUGUAGAUUUGGCUAAAUAACAGCAAAAAGCGGGUGUGUGCAGUGAUUAGGAUUGCAGCAAGAAAAACUGACUGAAUCAGUUGACAGCUGAUAGUUUUUUCCAGAAGCGAAUAUUGCAAGAAAAUACUGCUGACUGGAACUGAAUUGCAUUGCAAUUUCAGGCUGAUUUCUUCCAACAUCCCUGUGAAGAAAGCUCUCAACGGAAGUGCUGUGGUUAACAGCAGACAAGCAAGAAUCAUGUGGGAAAAGGAAAAACGUGUUUAAAAUCCAGCGGAAUCCACCUCCUUUGAUUUCAUCUGAAGUUCUCAGGAACAGAAAAGAAGCAGUCGUGGGUUGCUGCCACGGCACGGAUUGUUUAUCUGCUAUUCAUAUGGAGGCUGUCGCACUCGAUUUAAGGUCAUAGGUCUUCUAAGUUAGGGUCAAUAUCAGCCAGCCAUUUUAAUGAAGACUAAUAUAUUGCCUGGUCUUUAAUGAGAAGUGUGAAAUACCGGAGAACGUGCACCUGGGCUAUGAUGAUCGCUGGCAUCUGGCCUUCUGCCUCCUUUUGCAUGAGAGGUGCCAGCGGUUUGUGACAAAGAGAAGAAACCAGAACAGGGAGGUUCGUUACAUCGUUGAUCAUCUGGCUCUGAGUAUGCAGGGGUAUAGGGACUGCUUAACGCCAGGCACAGCUUGCUCUGUGACACCGCACCCACAACUACAACAAAGCCUAAGGAAGCUGAGGCCGCAGGAAAAUUCUGGAGUAAAUGGGAGUUGCGUGCAACAGACUGGAAAGCAUCUGAAUAGCAGAGUGGAGCGGCAAAACCAGGAAGAUGUGUUUUGCUUCAGGCUUAGUGCUUGCAUUCUUGCACGUUCUUCCAAAGUCAGGUACAGGUUCCUCAAAUAUGAGUUUGCAAGAACGGCGUGAGUUCAUCUACACAGAAGGAAUUUGAUAUCCCUCCUUCUCCUGGAGAAAGAAAAAAAAAAGUGCCAAUUAAUUCUGAGUUGGGAUUUGCCUUUACAUUUGAUCUACUUGAGAAUUCACAAGGAAAGCUUCCUGUGAGGAAAGCUUAGAAAUGCUCCCAGGGAAAAAGCACUGUUGUAACUCUCCUGCUUCCUAAAGGGAUCAAGGCAGAACUCCUCUUAAUGCACGUUCUAUAAAAGAAACGGAGGGCCUACCUAAUACAGCCUCCUCAGGCUUCAAUUUUUCAGCCCAGCCUACAUAACAAGAGGAUCCCUCCCUGCGUUGAUCUGCUCUUCUCGUUUCUAAUUUCUUUUAUGUCUUAUAUGACUUGCUUGCACUUAGAAAGAAGAGUCCCUUCCCGUGUUGCUACAGCACGAGGCUUUGGCAUUUAAGCUGCUCGCGUGAUACAAAACCGGGGAGCUUGGAUGAGAGGCAUUUGAAGAGCAACUUGAAAUUCCCCUUGGAUGACUUGUGUGGCACAAGCUUCAUAGAUGGCCAGCAGCAGGGAUGCUGCUCCGAAAUCUUUGUGAAAUCUGACCGCGCUGUUGAAACACAGCAGGAAUUAGAGAUUUAAAAGGCUUUCCCUUCAGGUUGUGUCUUCGGUGCUCCCUAAAACUCUACCUCAACUUUACUUGAAGUCUCCACUUCCAUCCCAUCUCCCCUCUGUCUUCGUUUAACUCAGCAGCUUGGGCUGGACGCUGCUGGAAUAAUGACUGCACCCAAGACUUUCAUCACACACUGCUGACUUUUGAAUCUGGAUCUGAUUGCAGUUAAGAAGAAGAAGAGGCAGUCAUGUUUUUCUUCCGUUUGACGACUGGGGGGGCAUACUGUAUUUGUUUCUGAGGUUUUGUUUUUCAUUUAUAUAAUUAUUUGCCAGUAACACACCAUCAUGUCCUUUGUUUUGUUUCAGCUUGAUUCCCUUGUCCUUAUGUGAUAUUGUUAUAGGCACAAAGUGUCCCAGUUUUUUAAUGCUUCAUCAUUUAUUAAUGCCGCAGAUUGUGGGAUGAAGGCUUGUCAGCAUUGUGAUUUUUUUUGUUGUUGUUGUAUUGGCACAUACAAUAUCUGCACAGAAG